GGGGGGGGCUAAAUGCAAGUCGAGCGAGCUUGCCUAGAUGAUUUUAGUGCUUGCACUAAAUGAAACUAGAUACAAGCGAUCGGCGGACGGGUGAGUAACACGUGGGUAACCUGCCCAAGAGACUGGGAUAACACCUGGAAACAGAUGCUAAUACCGGAUAACAACACUAGACGCAUGUCUAGAGUUUGAAAGAUGGUUCUGCUAUCACUCUUGGAUGGACCUGCGGUGCAUUAGCUAGUUGGUAAGGUAACGGCUUACCAAGGCAAUGAUGCAUAGCCGAGUUGAGAGACUGAUCGGCCACAUUGGGACUGAGACACGGCCCAAACUCCUACGGGAGGCAGCAGUAGGGAAUCUUCCACAAUGGACGAAAGUCUGAUGGAGCAACGCCGCGUGAGUGAAGAAGGGUUUCGGCUCGUAAAGCUCUGUUGGUAGUGAAGAAAGAUAGAGGUAGUAACUGGCCUUUAUUUGACGGUAAUUACUUAGAAAGUCACGGCUAACUACGUGCCAGCAGCCGCGGUAAUACGUAGGUGGCAAGCGUUGUCCGGAUUUAUUGGGCGUAAAGCGAGUGCAGGCGGUUCAAUAAGUCUGAUGUGAAAGCCUUCGGCUCAACCGGAGAAUUGCAUCAGAAACUGUUGAACUUGAGUGCAGAAGAGGAGAGUGGAACUCCAUGUGUAGCGGUGGAAUGCGUAGAUAUAUGGAAGAACACCAGUGGCGAAGGCGGCUUACUGGACUGUAACUGACGUUGAGGCU
This 750-nucleotide ribosomal RNA is filed under the name uncultured bacterium. RNAcentral describes it as "bacterial SSU rRNA". It matches the Rfam family "Bacterial small subunit ribosomal RNA", at positions 39 to 753 of the family's 1533-position model. The record is from RNAcentral.